AAAAGCCACACAAAAGGCUACUGCGGAACACUUCUAAUUUUGGCUUCCGGGAUCCUGCUCCACGUUCUUUCUGACUAGCUUGCUAACGUGCUAAAGACAGGGAAGAUCUGUGACGGGGGCGUCACAUGUCCUGUGUUUAUCUGGCUUCGCUGGUAACGGGCCGUGUGACUGGACAAGUCAUUUGCCAAGGAUUAGAGGAGAUGAGCUAAGGGCUCCUUGCCCUGCCACCCUCUAUGAUUCUGAAGGUCACCCCUCCUGAUACGUAUAAUCAUUGUGUGCAUAUUUUGAAAAGUCCUGGUUAUUUCAAAGUGUGUAUUUACCCAUUGUUUUGUCAAAUAUUGACUACUUCCAUACAGGUGGGCAAACAGGCAUUCCCUGAGCCCUCCAGUGGCUCCUGCCCUCACUGCCCCAGCCCUCCUCGACCUCAGCCGGAUCCAGCAGCUCCAGAACUGGCCCCCUGCCCCAACAGGGACUCACCAGCACCUGGCUCUUUUGUGCAGACCAGCGUUAGUUGAGAUUGGCUGGCCUUCCACUUCUCAUCUUCUAAUAUGUAUAAUUUUUCACAUUUCAACAUUUCUGAAAUGGAUUGUGGCUUAAAGUUGAUGGCAUCUUAGAGUCGAUGACAUCCAUAGCUGACCCACCCGGCACUCGCAUGCCAGGAACAUCAGUGGGCUCCGGUUCCUUGGCUGUUUCUCUGAGAGCUGAUCUUCUGGAGAAGUGAACAGAUUUAUGGAAAGCAGCGUUGAGGCAUCAUGUGCUGGCGGGAGGAUUUCGACAAAGGCCAGAACCUUGAAAGACGACAGAUGACGAGGAGGCCCCUGCCCCUGGGUUCCGGCGGAUGCUCUUGUUGAGUUCAGGGCGUGAGGGGCACUUCCUAGGACACCCCCGUGGGGCUGCCCAGGUAGAGACACAGCAGGAAGGCAGCUGUCUCCAAGCCAGGAAGUGGGCUCUCACCAGCAACCAAAUCUGCCAGCACCUUGAUCUUGGGCUUCCAGCCUCCAGAACU
Molecule: long non-coding RNA, 1006 nt
Filed under: Equus asinus (donkey)
Lineage: Eukaryota; Metazoa; Chordata; Mammalia; Perissodactyla; Equidae
Description: lncRNA (ENSEASG00005024642.1)
Source: RNAcentral